Molecule: ribosomal RNA, 695 nt
Filed under: Entyloma fuscum
Lineage: Eukaryota; Fungi; Basidiomycota; Exobasidiomycetes; Entylomatales; Entylomataceae
Description: eukaryotic LSU rRNA
Rfam family: 5.8S ribosomal RNA (bases 241-394)
Source: RNAcentral
CUUGGUCAUUUAGAGGAAGUAAAAGUCAUAACAAGGUUACUGUAGGUGAACCUGCAGUAGGAUCAUUAGUGAAUAACACGGGGUUCCCACUACGUGGGCCCCAACCCUUCACCAUAUCCACACACCUGUGCACCGCUAGUGACGGCCGAUACGAAAGUGUCUUGUCGCUGCUAGCAACCUUUUACACAUACACAUCAGUAACUGAAUGUCAUUGUACCUACGCAAGUAGAAACAUAAUACAACUUUUGACAACGGAUCUCUUGGUUCUCCCAUCGAUGAAGAACGCAGCGAAAUGCGAUAAGUAAUGUGAAUUGCAGAAUUCAGUGAAUCAUCGAAUCUUUGAACGCACCUUGCGCUCCUUGGUAUUCCGAGGAGCAUGCCUGUUUGAGUGUCAUGAAUUCUCAACCCCCAAUGCUUUAUUGCGUUGCUUGGGGUUGGUCCUUGGGUGCUUGCUGUUGUCACAGACAGCUCACCUCAAAUGUAUUAGCUGGACCGCACGACGAAUGCGCAGGUUCUACUCAACGUGAUAAGUUCAAUCGUUGAGGAUGCCUUUCCGUUACUGGAAAGCAGCCUGCCUCCAGUCAUGUGCAAUGUCUGCUUCCAACCCGGCGAAUGACUACACAGUCUGACCCACACUUAAUGCUCUGGCCUCAAAUGAGGGAGGACUACCCGAUGAACUUAAGCAUAUUAAUAAG